Molecule: long non-coding RNA, 475 nt
Filed under: Salvia miltiorrhiza (redroot sage)
Lineage: Eukaryota; Viridiplantae; Streptophyta; Magnoliopsida; Lamiales; Lamiaceae
Description: long non-coding RNA (SMIL_LNC008341)
Source: RNAcentral
UUUCUUCAGGCUGAGUAAUCAGUUUAAUUGCCAGUUCGCCACAUCUCACUGCUCGUAAAUGCCUCAACAUAAAAGCAACAUAAUUAAACAAAGCAGACAAUUGCAAAAUGCGAACGAUUAAUUAGUAAAAACAAAUAAAGAAUUAAAAUGUAAAAGACAAUAUAUUUCACAAUACACAGACAAUUUAUUUUUAUUUCACCAUAACUAUUAACUACCAUAUGAAUUAUAAGAACAAGAAAGAACAAAAAGAAAAUUUAUGGAAUUAUUUUUACAAUGACAGAGAAGUGCGAGGAGCUUGGCGAUUGCAGGCUUCGAAGAGUCGGUGACCAAGGUUAGAAGCAGAGAGAGAUGAGAGGUGGGAGUAGGCGCGAGUAGGCCAGUGGUGGGGCAACGAUUGUGGCGUGGCGGCGAUAGAAAGAAAUUAGGGCAGAGAGGAGUGAAAAAAGAAAAGAAAAAACGUUAACCUAAAAAGAAG